AGUGAACGCUGGCGGUAGGCCUAACACAUGCAAGUCGAACGGCAGCACAGUAAGAGCUUGCUCUUACGGGUGGCGAGUGGCGGACGGGUGAGGAAUACAUCGUAAUCUACUUUUUCGGGGGGGAUAACGUAGGGAAACUUACGCUAAUACCGCAUACGACCUACGGGUGAAAGCAGGGGAUCUUCGGACCUUGCGCGAUUGAAUGAGCCGAUGUCGGAUUAGCUAGUUGGCGGGCUAAAGGCCCACUAAGGCGACGAUCCGUAGCUGGUGUGAGAGGAUGGUCGGCCACACUGGAACUGGACCACGGUCCAGACUCCUACGGGAGGCAGCAGUGGGGAAUAUGGGGCAAUGGGCGCAAGCAUGAUACAGCCAUACCGCGUGGGUGAAGAAGGCCCUCGGGGUGGAAAGACCUUUUGUUGGGAAAGAAAAGCAGCAGGUUAAUACCCCGCUGUUCUGACGGUACCCAAAGAAUAAGCACCGGCUAACUUCGUG
This 492-nucleotide ribosomal RNA is filed under the name uncultured bacterium. RNAcentral's name for it is "partial 16S ribosomal RNA". It matches the Rfam family "Bacterial small subunit ribosomal RNA", at positions 29 to 507 of the family's 1533-position model. The record is from RNAcentral.